This is a long non-coding RNA of Panicum virgatum (switchgrass), 3564 nucleotides long. RefSeq lists it as uncharacterized. NCBI's taxonomy places the organism in Eukaryota, Viridiplantae, Streptophyta, Magnoliopsida, Poales, Poaceae. The record is from RefSeq and is a predicted model, not a curated record. The transcript is spliced from 2 exons.
CCUUCUCGGCGAGGUCAAUCAAGUUGUGCUUGGUUGAUAACCAACAGAGCAGUAGUGUAGCGGUUGCAGGGUUUGAAUCGUGCUGAUUUGAAGUCGGAUCGUCAACAUCAAGUCCUCCACCAAUCGAACGUACCUUUACCUCUCGAAAAAUCGGGCCUAGUCCUCAUCAAGUGGUAUUAGAUAUUGAGGUUUCCCGUGAGGUAUUACCCUUCGUUUUCCCCUUAGAUUCGUUUUGUGUCAUAUCUCUAUAUCGACACAAAAAGAGCCUACAAAAAAAUUUCGCUGACCUAGAACCUUUUUGGCCUUGGCAAUUUCGUUUUCGAUUCACUUUGUUGAGUUUGUGUCCGUGGUCGAGUCUUGUUGCUGGUUCAAUGUGUUUGUCGUCGGAGUUCAACCGCUCGUUGCCGUGUGUUUGUUUCCACCGCUGUCCGACUCCAACUUUACCUAAACAACAAGUCGAUCCACCCUAUUACUCGACUUGCCCUCACUAGCCGCCUUGUGUGACUUCCUACCGCGCCAGCCCUAGAUAGGUUGCAAGCCGCCUUGUGCCUUCACCUUGCAUCGCAGGCCUCCCUUGAUUCAUCUUGCAUAUCCUAUUUAUGCAUCCACCAGGGAUACUUUGCCCUAACUGAGAAGCUUUGCUCAGCCGUGUUCUGUGCCGGGGUUCAGGGAAGAUUUGCCUUAGCCGCCGCCGCCGCCCUAUCUGCCAAGUUGUGCCAUCUCAAUCCUUCGGUAAAACAAGUAUAACUUUUCACUCGGUGCUCCGUUUUGGCUCAAAUUUUUACAAUAGAAAGGUGAUGAAUUUUUGCACAUAGGAUUAAACCGCUUCGCCGUUUGGAGCCGAUCUCAGAAUUGCAAAAAAAAAAUCAUAAAGAUGGAGUUUGAGGCUCCUAAGUUGUUUUCAGGUUUUCAAGAAACAUGCCUUAUUUUCUGUAGACCACAUCCCAGCUCUGUUUAAGGUGCAAAAUUUUUUGGUUGGAGCUUGUGUUACAUCUGUUCGGAUAAAAAUAUAAAAAAUAGUUUAAUAAAAUAAGAAAUCUUGGUUCCUACUAGUCUUGGAGGUAGUUCGGCGAAAAGAUUAAAAACAAGUGCAUAAAGUGUUGUUUUGCUUGUUCUGUAAGUUUUAUCCACCGUCCUUUGUUCCAACUUAUUGUGCUAUACCUAGGACAUGUCUUAGCCAGCAAUUGUGACUUGUACUUUGGAUACUUAUUGAACUUUGCUACUCUGCAUUCGUUAUUUGCUACUCCUUGCUACAUAUUAUGCCUGUCCCAAAUCUCCCCAUAUACUUCGGUCUGUACAUGUUCAUCUUGCAACUGUUACACCCAGCUCGGCAACAGAUUGUACCAUCCUAUUUGGCUUUGGUAAGAACACUUGCAAAAUGGUGGUUAGCUACUUGAGAUUUUGCACUCCACUUUCACCACCACCCAGUAGUUGUUAGUUGAUAGGGAUAAUACCUUGGUGUUGUCUUUUGCUGUCUUUUAACCAUGACAGGGUCAGGGAAAGGAGUGGAGUCCCCUUCGGACUUCAAUGAAUGUGUCUCGAAGGACGAGCUUCAGAGACUUUUUGAUGACCAGUGCAUCUACAUGACGGGAAAUUUGAUGACCUGAUGCGCAAUAUCAAUGGCCUGGUUACCCGGAUUGAACAUGUUGAACAAUGGCCUCCUUCACAGCGGCAUCGAUGACGACCUCAUGGUGAUGAGGAAGAGGACGAGGAUGCCGACUUUGAUGAUGAUGAUGCUCGUGAUGCAGACCGCCUUCGGUGCAAUCGUCAAGGUAUGGAAGGUAAUUAUAAUCGUGGUAACCAUGAUCCUUUUGCUAAAGCUAAAUUUACCAUGAUUCUUUUUGCUGGUACUGCUGAUCCUGAGGCUUAUUUUGAUAUGGAACUUGCUGUUGAACAAAAGUUUAAUUCUCAUUUAGUUCCUGCUGAGCAUAGAAUUAGACUUGCUACUAGUGAUUUACUAGCUUUGCUCUAUUUUGGUGGAAUGAUCUUUGCAAUGCUAGUAAUGCUGCUAUCGUGCCUCAAACUUGGCCUGUUUUAAAACAACGCAUGAAAUCUCGUUUUGUUCCUCCUUAUUGCCAAUAUGAUUUACGUUUAAAAUUACAAACUUUAAAACAAGGUGACAAAGGAGUAGAGGAAUAUUAUCAAGAAUUACUUAUUGGUCUAGCACGUUGUGGUAUUCGUGAGGAUGAUGAUGAAAGUAGUGCUAGAUUCUUUGGUGGUUUAAAUCGUGAUAUACAGAACAUUCUAGAUUACAAAGAAUGGACUUGUUUUUCCCAAUUGUAUCAUCUUGCUCUUAAGGCCAAACGGGAAGUAUAGGGACGCCGCCAAGACCAACUUUCUUUCAGGUCCAACACUGGGAGAUGGGUUUUAGCAGCGUUCAGACAUUGAGAAGCCCAAGGCGUCUGUUGCUAAGCCACCAGCAACACCUCCAGCUCCUGCGCCCGCUUCUGAGGUAAGCAAUGUGUCUACUGUGCAGACCCAACAACACAAGAAGCAUACUACUAUUGGAAAGGGUUCUUUGAGUAGAUCUACAAACAUUGUGUGCCACCACUGCAAGGGAAUGGGACAUGUCAUGAAGGAUUGUCCAAGUACUCGCGCUUUCAUCACUGCACCUGAUGGCAAUGGAUAUGUAUGUGCUAGUGAUGUUGAUGAUGAUUUAGUUCUUGCAACUAACAUUGUUGCAGAUUCAGAGGAAGAAGAGGGUGAGACAAUUGAUUUCUUAGCUGCAUCGGUGGGUUUUCCUAGCCUUCUUGUGCAGCAUGUGUUGAGUUCUAAAGCGGAACAUGAGGAUGAGGAGAAGCUCCAACAUAAGAAUUUGUUCCACAAGUUUCUCAUUGUUAAGGAUUGUCGUGUUCUCACCAUAAUUGAUAGCAGGAGUUGAAGCAACUUGGUGAGUUCAGAUUUGGUCAAGAAGCUUGACUUGACCACUCGUUCUAUCCCUCACCCCUACCACCUAGAAUGGUUCAACAAUAGUGGUAAGGCUAAGAUUGAUGAUGUGAUGGAGUCGAGGAUGACUCCAAUUCAAGAAGGGGAGAAUGAUGAGACAUCACCAAGCUGGACAUGCAUGAGCCGGCCUCAUCACCAAGUUUCAAAUCGUCGCCAAGUUGGACAGCGAGUUCGGUUCGGAUUCAGCCGACAUGCCUGUACCAAAACAACGAUAUCUCCCUCAUACGGCGUCCAAAUAAGGCAUUCUUGGAUGCGUUGGAAUCAUUACGACAAGACACUUCUUUUGGUUCUGGUCUUAGCUCCAGAAACCUCAUGGACCAUUCUGUGUGACCACAGAAAGGUGCUGCAUCACCUGUUUUGGACCUUUUCAGGCAUUGUAUCUUGUCGAGCCUUAAGCCCAUAUUGUGAGCACCCUACCCUGGUUGUCCAACCCUAGGACGCCCCUGCUUUCCCCAUAAACUCUGUAGCCGCCACCACUUAGACUUGAGUUUUGUUUAGUUCAUGUGUUUUUCUUCGAGAAAACAAAGAUUGCAUCGUUGUAUCUGUAGCGACAAGUCCUUUCGAAUCGUGUGCUUGAACCCCUCUUGAGAUUCACUUCAUUCAUAUUUGUAAUUAUCA